RNAcentral lists this ribosomal RNA (253 nucleotides) under uncultured bacterium. Its description in RNAcentral is "partial 16S ribosomal RNA". It matches the Rfam family "Bacterial small subunit ribosomal RNA", at positions 524 to 776 of the family's 1533-position model. The record is from RNAcentral.
UACGUAGGGUGCAAGCGUUGUCCGGAAUUAUUGGGCGUAAAGAGCUCGUAGGCGGCUUGUCGCGUCGGCUGUGAAAACCUGGGGCUCAACUCCGGGCCUGCAGCCGAUACGGGCAAGCUAGAAUUCGGUAGGGGAGACUGGAAUUCCUGAUGUAGCGGUGAAAUGCGCAGAUAUCAGGAGGAACACCGGUGGCGAAGGCGGGUCUCUGGGCCGAUAUUGACGCUGAGGAGCGAAAGCGUGGGGAGCGAACAGG